UAGGGAAUCUUCGGCAAUGGACGGAAGUCUGACCGAGCAACGCCGCGUGAGUGAAGAAGGUUUUCGGAUCGUAAAGCUCUGUUGUAAGAGAAGAACGAGUGUGAGAGUGGAAAGUUCACACUGUGACGGUAUCUUACCAGAAAGGGACGGCUAACUACGUGCCAGCAGCCGCGGUAAUACGUAGGUCCCGAGCGUUGUCCGGAUUUAUUGGGCGUAAAGCGAGCGCAGGCGGUUAGAUAAGUCUGAAGUUAAAGGCUGUGGCUUAACCAUAGUACGCUUUGGAAACUGUUUAACUUGAGUGCAAGAGGGGAGAGUGGAAUUCCAUGUGUAGCGGUGAAAUGCGUAGAUAUAUGGAGGAACACCGGUGGCGAAGGCGGCUCUCUGGCUUGUAACUGACGCUGAGGCUCGAAAGCGUGGGGAGCAAACAGGAUUAGAUACCCUGGUAGUCCACGCCGUAAACGAUGAGUGCUAGGUGUUAGACCCUUUCCGGGGUUUAGUGCCGCAGCUAACGCAUUAAGCACUCCGCCUGGGGAGUACGACCGCAAGGUUG
RNAcentral lists this ribosomal RNA (550 nucleotides) under uncultured bacterium. Its description in RNAcentral is "bacterial SSU rRNA". It matches the Rfam family "Bacterial small subunit ribosomal RNA", at positions 355 to 896 of the family's 1533-position model. The record is from RNAcentral.